GUGAGGAAUAUUGGUCAAUGGGCGAGAGCCUGAACCAGCCAAGUCGCGUGAAGGAAGAAGGAUCUAUGGUUCGUAAACUUCUUUUGCAGGGGAAUAAAGUGCAGGACGUGUCCUGUUUUGUAUGUACCCUGAGAAUAAGGAUCGGCUAACUCCGUGCCAGCAGCCGCGGUAAUACGGAGGAUCCGAGCGUUAUCCGGAUUCAUUGGGUUUAAAGGGUGCGUAGGUGGUUUGAUAAGUCAGCGGUGAAAGUUUGCAGCUUAACUGUAAAAAUGCCGUUGAAACUGUCGGACUUGAGUGUAAAUGAGGUAGGCGGAAUGCGUGGUGUAGCGGUGAAAUGCAUAGAUAUCACGCAGAACUCCGAUUGCGUAGGCAGCUUACUAAGCUACAACUGACACUGAAGCACGAAAGCGUGGGGAUCAAACAGGAUUAGAAACCCGGGUAGUCC
Molecule: ribosomal RNA, 445 nt
Filed under: uncultured bacterium
Lineage: Bacteria
Description: partial 16S ribosomal RNA
Rfam family: Bacterial small subunit ribosomal RNA
Source: RNAcentral